AACGAACGCUGGCGGCAUGCCUAACACAUGCAAGUCGAACGAGACCUUCGGGUCUAGUGGCGCACGGGUGCGUAACGCGUGGGAACCUGCCCUUAGGUUCGGAAUAACUCCCCGAAAGGGGUGCUAAUACCGGAUAAUGUCUUCGGACCAAAGAUUUAUCGCCUUUGGAUGGGCCCGCGUUGGAUUAGCUAGUUGGUAGGGUAAAAGCCUACCAAGGCGACGAUCCAUAGCUGGUCUGAGAGGAUGAUCAGCCACACUGGGACUGAGACACGGCCCAGACUCCUACGGGAGGCAGCAGUGGGGAAUAUUGGACAAUGGGCGAAAGCCUGAUCCAGCAAUGCCGCGUGAGUGAUGAAGGCCUUAGGGUUGUAAAGCUCUUUUACCCGGGAUGAUAAUGACAGUACCGGCAGAAUAAGCGCCGGCUAACUCCGUG
RNAcentral lists this ribosomal RNA (433 nucleotides) under uncultured bacterium. RNAcentral's name for it is "partial 16S ribosomal RNA". It matches the Rfam family "Bacterial small subunit ribosomal RNA", at positions 29 to 507 of the family's 1533-position model. The record is from RNAcentral.